GACGAACGCUGGCGGCGUGCUUAACACAUGCAAGUCGAACGGAAAGGCCCUGCUUUUGUGGGGUGCUCGAGUGGCGAACGGGUGAGUAACACGUGAGUAACCUGCCCUUGACUUUGGGAUAACUUCAGGAAACUGGGGCUAAUACCGGAUAGGAGCUCCUGCUGCAUGGUGGGGGUUGGAAAGUUUCGGCGGUUGGGGAUGGACUCGGGGCUUAUCAGCUUGUUGGUGGGGUAGUGGCUUACCAAGCCUUUGACGGGUAGCCGGCAUGAGAGGGUGACCGGCCACAUUGGGACUGAGGUACGGACCAGAGUGCUACGGGAGGCAGCAGUGGGGAAUAUUGCACAAUGGGCGGAAGCCUGAUGCAGCAACGCCGCGUGCGGGAUGACGGCCUUCGGGUUGUAAACCGCUUUCGCCUGUGACGAAGCGUGAGUGACGGUAAUGGGUAAAGAAGCACCGGCUAACUACGUG
RNAcentral lists this ribosomal RNA (468 nucleotides) under uncultured bacterium. RNAcentral's name for it is "partial 16S ribosomal RNA". It matches the Rfam family "Bacterial small subunit ribosomal RNA", at positions 28 to 507 of the family's 1533-position model. The record is from RNAcentral.